GACGAACGCUGGCGGCGUGCCUAAUACAUGCAAGUAGAACGCUGAAGAGAGGAGCUUGCUCUUCUUGGAUGAGUUGCGAACGGGUGAGUAACGCGUAGGUAACCUGCCUUGUAGCGGGGGAUAACUAUUGGAAACGAUAGCUAAUACCGCAUAACAAUGGAUGACACAUGUCAUUUAUUUGAAAGGGGCAAUUGCUCCACUACAAGAUGGACCUGCGUUGUAUUAGCUAGUAGGUGAGGUAAUGGCUCACCUAGGCGACGAUACAUAGCCGACCUGGGAGGGUGAACGGCCACACUGGGACUGAGACACGGCCCAGACUCCUACGGGAGGCAGCAGUAGGGAAUCUUCGGCAAUGGGGGCAACCCUGACCGAGCAACGCCGCGUGAGUGAAGAAGGUUUUCGGAUCGUAAAGCUCUGUUGUAAGUCAAGAACGGGUGUGAGAGUGGAAAGUUCACACUGUGACGGUAGCUUACCAGAAAGGGACGGCUAACUACGUG
This 497-nucleotide ribosomal RNA is filed under the name uncultured bacterium. RNAcentral describes it as "partial 16S ribosomal RNA". It matches the Rfam family "Bacterial small subunit ribosomal RNA", at positions 28 to 507 of the family's 1533-position model. The record is from RNAcentral.